UACGUAGGGUGCGAGCGUUAAUCGGAAUUACUGGGCGUAAAGCGUGCGCAGGCGGUUCGUUAAGUCAGAUGUGAAAGCCCCGGGCUCAACCUGGGAACUGCAUUUGAAACUGGCGGGCUUGAGUGUGGCAGAGGGGGGUGGAAUUCCAGGUGUAGCGGUGAAAUGCGUAGAUAUCUGGAGGAACACCGGUGGCGAAGGCGGCAUCCUGGACCGGCAUUGACGCUGAGGCGCGAAAGCCAGGGGAGCAAACGGG
Molecule: ribosomal RNA, 253 nt
Filed under: uncultured bacterium
Lineage: Bacteria
Description: partial 16S ribosomal RNA
Rfam family: Bacterial small subunit ribosomal RNA
Source: RNAcentral